This 654-nucleotide ribosomal RNA is filed under the name uncultured actinomycete. RNAcentral describes it as "bacterial SSU rRNA". It matches the Rfam family "Bacterial small subunit ribosomal RNA", at positions 232 to 885 of the family's 1533-position model. The record is from RNAcentral. Lineage: Bacteria; Bacillati; Actinomycetota; Actinomycetes; Actinomycetales.
CGCGGCCUAUCAGCUUGUUGGCGAGGUAACGGCUCACCAAGGCGACGACGGGUAGCUGGUCUGAGAGGAUGGCCAGCCACAUUGGGACUGAGAUACGGCCCAGACUCCUACGGGAGGCAGCAGUGGGGAAUAUUGCGCAAUGGCCUAACGGCUGACGCAGCGACGCCGCGUGUGGGAUGAAGCCUUUCGGGGUGUAAACCACUGUUGCCCGGGACGAACCUCUGGCUUUGGCCAGACUGACGGUACCGGGUGAGGAAGCACCGGCUAACUCCGUGCCAGCAGCCGCGGUAAUACGGAGGGUGCGAGCGUUGUCCGGAAUCACUGGGCGUAAAGGGCGCGUAGGCGGUUCGAUAAGUGUGUGGUGAAAGCCCGGGGCUUAACCCCGGGUCUGCCGUGCAAACUGUCGGACUCGAGGACUGCAGAGGCAGGUGGAAUUCCGGGUGUAGCGGUGGAAUGCGUAGAGAUCCGGAAGAAGACCGGUGGCGAAGGCGACCUGCUGGGCAGUUACUGACGCUGAGGCGCGACAGCGUGGGGAGCAAACAGGAUUAGAUACCCUGGUAGUCCACACCGUAAACGAUGGGCACUAGGUCUCUGGGGGAGCGACCCCCUGGGGGCCGGCGCAAACGCAUGAAGUGCCCCGCCUGGGGAGUACGG